Ribosomal RNA from Cavia porcellus (domestic guinea pig), 112 nucleotides. Lineage: Eukaryota; Metazoa; Chordata; Mammalia; Rodentia; Caviidae. The record is from Ensembl.
UUCUACAGCCAUACCACCCUGAAUGUGCCCAAUGUCAUCUGAUCUCAGAAGCUAAGCAGGUUCAGGCCUGGUUAGUACUUGGAUGGGAGAAAAAGUAAGGUUAUUACAGAAU